AACGAACGCUGGCGGCAUGCCUAACACAUGCAAGUCGAACGAGACCUUCGGGUCUAGUGGCGCACGGGUGCGUAACGCGUGGGAACCUGCCCUUAGGUUCGGAAUAACUCCCCGAAAGGGGUGCUAAUACCGGAUAAUGUCUUCGGACCAAAGAUUUAUCGCCUUUGGAUGGGCCCGCGUUGGAUUAGCUAGUUGGUAGGGUAAAAGCCUACCAAGGCGACGAUCCAUAGCUGGUCUGAGAGGAAGAUCAGCCACACUGGGACUGAGACACGGCCCAGACUCCUACGGGAGGCAGCAGUGGGGAAUAUUGGACAAUGGGCGAAAGCCUGAUCCAGCAAGGCCGCGUGAGUGAUGAAGGCCUUAGGGUUGUAAAGCUCUUUUACCCGGGAUGAUAAUGACAGUACCGGGAGAAUAAGCUCCGGCUAACUCCGUG
This 433-nucleotide ribosomal RNA is filed under the name uncultured bacterium. Its description in RNAcentral is "partial 16S ribosomal RNA". It matches the Rfam family "Bacterial small subunit ribosomal RNA", at positions 29 to 507 of the family's 1533-position model. The record is from RNAcentral.